AGCAUAAUUGCUCGCCCUAGAGACGACGUGACUUUACCGUGUCGAGCACCAGGGCAAUCCCCCAUCAGAGCUGCAGAGUGGAGCAGGCCUGACAUGACGACACAGUACGUCUUCUUCUACAGGGACGGGCAGGCUGAUAACACCUUUCAGCAUCCCUCUUAUAAGGACCGGGUGGAGCUGGCGGACAGCAAGGUGAAAGAUGGCAACCUGUCAUUAGUGCUGAAGAAUGUGAUGCUCAACGACUCUGGAACAUACGAGUGUCGAGUUAAACAGGAAGCCACGAAACGCACGACGAGACAUGUUAUUAAGUCCGAGCCCAUCAGCAUCGUCAAAGUGACCGUUAUACAAUCACGUGGUGCAUUUGAACCUAUUGGAGCUGGAGGACACCUGGUUGGACAUGUCGGGCUGGUAGUGGGGCUGGUGGUGAUGGCUGUCAUUUGAUUUGUGGGUGGUGUUAUGAUGUACAAGAACGUUAAAGGAUCCUUACGGUACACCACUUUAUUUGCCCCAAGCUAGGGCUGCAUAAUAUAUUGUUCAGCAUCGUCAACGCUAUCCGACUUUUAGGAGGGUUCGCAGGGUUCUUGAAAAUAACUGAAGAACAGGUAAAAAACACUGAAACAGUGGCUUUGGGUUUGAAAAGAAAAGCAACUUUUGUAUUAUACUGGUGGAAAGCUGCUCUUUUAAAUAAAAUAUGGUUGCUGCAUUAAAGCUCGAGAGGGUAGUUUACACUCAAAAAAGUCUUCAGACCAAAAAUAAAUAUUUUAGCUAAUUUAUUUUCCAACAAAAUCAAUGCAAUAAUUCUAACAUGCCUAAAUAAUUUCAAAUAGAGCAACUGAAGUCAUCUGGUAAAAACUCCUUUGUUUUUUCAUAUCGCAGAAAAGAAAAAUAGUGCAGUCUCAGAUUUUUCCAAUAUCCUACACUAAGCUAUGAAUACCUGCUUUUCCACUGUGGCCUCACCGCAGCCACUCAGAAUUCUCCAUUCUGAUUGGCUGGCAAAUGUCCAGUCAUUUCUCACAACCAAUUAAAGGGCCAGUGUUAUCAAAGACAGCAGCAGUGAGGUUUAGCUGAAUAGCUCGGAGCUGGGGUUAUUUAUGUAACAAAUAACAUACAACAGGUACAGUGAAGUUGAACUUCCAUGGGAAUUUAAAAUUCCGUUAACGGCUGAAAAUUCAUUUAUCAAGCAGCGAUUGUGUUUAAUGUGGAGGUGACUAACGGUCCGAGGAGUAAUGAAGCUGCAGCCUGCAGGCGUGAGGGAUGUCUGCAGGGGCCGGCUUUGAGAGAGAGAGUAUAUCCAUGGUGUAGGUCUGUCUCUGUGAGGAACAAGCUCAGCUUCAGACCUCCGGAGUGAGGGCACUUUUGGAAAGUGAGGGUAUUUCCUCACUUUGCCUUUAAAGGACUUGGUUUGAAGUUUCAGGUUAGAAUCAUACAGAGGCAAAUCACACAUCGUGCUGGUGAUGGUGGUGCAUCUCAACCACUGGGAUUUAAAGAGGUCGAGUUCCUCUCCUUGUGCUGUUACCUUGUCGUGGUGGGGAGGCUUGUGUUACUCCAAAACCCUGAGAGCUGGUGGGAGUUUGAGCUGGGUUGCUCUCAGGUGAGGGGCAGACGAAAGACAGCAUGAUCGGUUUGGGCAAUUGACCCUUUGCUUACCCCUUAGUUACUGUUGCUAAGUCCGACAAACUGUCGGCGCUGCCACUGUCCAUUACUGCAGUUUUGUCAAAUUUGUUGUAAACAGUUUUGCAGUUGCAUUAUAGAUUUGAAGGUUGUAUUCAGGCUGUCAAACUGACUCAAACGGACGUGAAAAAAAUUAAAGAUAGAAGAUAAAUCACACAGUAGGCCUACAAGUGAACCACCACAUCCCCCGACGAUUAAGACAAAAGACAACGAUAUUAAGGCCGACCCAGCUUCACUAUUCCUGUAAAGCUGGGUAGGCCUCUGUUCAUUAUUACAAUCAUUAAAAAGCAGAACAGUAGGGUGAGGGGUGGGGUUAGGGUUAUUUUUCUGGAUUUAUUUUAGGUUUUGGAAAGAGAAUAAAUCUCCUUUCAACCUCUCUGGGUAGCUGCUGUAACUAUUACAAGUGCCCCAGGAACAGCGUUUGACCAUAUGUUAGAAAAAUACAGCCAAGAAAAGCUAGAAAACGACUCUUUUUGCAUUAGAGUCAAUGGAGCGCAUCCAUGAACGUGUCGGACCUCAGAUAGAGCGAAACCUAUACUGCGCUGUGUUUAGCCAGCUGUGUGUUCGGGGUGUGGCUUCGCAAUUAAUUUGGCAUCAAUUACUGACACUGCUGAAACAGCAAAAGGGUCAGCCCCUGGACACCACGGGCUGGUUCAGCCUGGGCUGGGCUGCCUGGGAAAAGAUGUCUGAUUUUGAAACACCCGAGGACUUCAUGUUUUAUCACUAUGUGUGUAAGAGUAAGUUUUGACUUGUGUGCCUGUUAAUGAGCCAGCCGGCUUAAUGAGAGCUUAUGAAAGGUGUGUUGACAGCUCCGAAAGAUGGCCCCAGGACGAUGAAGUUCACAAGAAUAUGUUUUCUCCUUACUGUUACACACAGAGAAAUCAAGGGUACGAAUGCUGUACCCGAGCAGGGUACGAGGACUGUACCUUUGAACGGUGUUGUUCUUGUCUGUACCUCUAAAAGAACAUUUUUGCACCCUUAGUGACAAAAAAAGCGACUUACAAUUGUUAUAUAUUUCAGAGGUCGCACGCCUCUGGAGCAACUAGGGGUUAAGUGUCAGGGGCACAAUGGUGGACGUGUCACAGUGGGAAUUGAACCCGGGUCUCACACACCAGAGGCAUGUGUGUUAUCCACUGGGUCUGCAUCAUUUGCCUGUACAUUAAGUUUAUUAAAAGGACAGUUAUGUACCCUUUGCUGUCAGCAAUGAUGCCGUACCUUCAAAAAUAAACAAAGUUCCACGGUUAAAACACCCUUUCCGUAACUUACAGGGUCCUUUUUUGAAAAAUGGAUCUGUAGGGAACAGAAAUGAUACCCCUCUCUGUGUGUGUUGGCCUGGUCCUCAGUACUCGGGCCCGCCCGUCCACCUCCUUACUCAGACAUGACGCUCUGGGGCGCCACAGUGCGUAACAAACUGACUCCUUACGGGUCUUGACCAUGCGUACAUAUGUGAGCAGAACGUGUUUGACGUGUGUGUGUUACCACACUAAUGCUAAUAUUAAACUUUUAUCCUAGAAUUAUUAUUAUUAUAAUUCCCUUUUUAAUAAUUACAAAGACAUAUAAGGUAUUAUUAACACCGAUCAGCCAUAACAUUAUGACCACCAGCUUUUCCAUCAAAACAGCCCUGAGCCAUCGAGGCCUGGACUCCACUGUGUGGUCUGACACCUUUCUACCAGAACCGGCAUCACUUUGACCGUCUGUUGGAUCGGAUCACACGGGCUCUCCACGUGCACAGGGUGCAAAAUUUACUUUUUUGUCUACUAGCCAAUGGCUAGUGAAUGCUCAAAGUGUACCCGCCACUCAACAGAUUCCCAUUGUUUGUUGGCUGGUGAGUGAAGGAAAUCUACCAUUUCUCUGGUGGCUGGUGCAAAUUUUAAACUCUGCACAUGCAUCAAUGAGCCUUGGACACAUGAGCCUGUCGCUGUUUCACCAGCUUUUCCUUAAUCGAACCGCUUUUGAUCGGUACUGACUCCUGCAGACGGGUUUGGAGAUGCUCUGACCCAGUCGUCUAGCAGUCAGAGUCUGGCUCCUGUCAAAGUCGCUCAAAUCCUCAUGCUGCCCAUUUUUGCUGCUUCUAACACAUCAACUCUGACGACACAAUGUUCGCCUACUGCCUGAUACGUCCCACCCACUCAGUGUUAUUCUCUUCACCUGCAGUGGUCAUAAUGUUACGGCUGAUUGGUGUAUGUUGUUAUGAGAGGGGUUAGUAGUUCUUUCAGGUAGGAGGGGGGAACAUUUCCAAAGAUGUACUGGUGGGUGAGGAGAGAGACCUUGCAGCACUGUGCUGAAUAUACUGCAGACUCUUGUUAGGGAUCCUGACGAGCAGUGCGUUACAGUAAUUGAGUUUUGAGGAGACAAAGGGGGUUUUCAGCAUCAGCGGUGGUGAAACAGAGUUUUGCAAUAUUUCUUAGAUGAUACAAAGAGAAUCUGCAGAGGUUUUUGAUAUGGGCUUCAAAGGUGAGUUGUGGGCGGUCAUGACCAGAGAUAGUUAUACUGGUUAUGGAGCUUGACUGGACUUGAUGUGAGUUGCCAACAAGAACUGCCUCAGUUUUAGAGCUGUAAUACUCGAAGAAGUUCUGUUUCAUCCAGACCUUUAUCUCCUCCUGACAAGAAGAGAUGAAGACGGAGAUGAUGUUGGUGAGGCUGCAGAGGUGUGUGUGUCCGAUUUCAUGUACAGUUGUGUGUCAUCAGCAUAACAGUGAAAUGAGACUCCAUAGCAGCUAAUGACUUGGCCGAGGGGGGAGGAUGGAAAUGAUGAAGAGGAUGGGGCCAAGAACUGACCCCUGGGGGACCCUGCAGGAAACUGUUUGUUGCAGGAACCUUGCACUUCCAAGUGAAAUGUACUCUGUUCGGUCAGUGAGUCCAGGGGUUUAGUGUAGCCUGAGGAGUAAGCCAACGAUCCACAUCGAAUGCUGCAGACAGAUCGAGGAGAAUGAGCUGCCAUUCGUAGGUCGUUUGUGACUCCACCCAGGACUGUUUUUGUGCUGUGAGCAGAGCGGAAACCAGACUGAAAGUUUAAAGAAAAGGGUGUUAUGUUUGAGAUUAUGUUGGGUGAUUGGAAAUGUGCCUGUAAUUAGCAAAUGCAUCUGGAUCAAAGGUGGGUUUUUAUGAGAAGUCGUCGGAUUAUCGUGACUCGUAAGUCAUCAUCAGUCUUUGAACUAAAGAGACCCGAGAAGGGAAUCUGUCGUGCUAGACUGUUUUUAUGUUGUUUUUGAGAACUUUUUACGAGGUGACAUGUUGAAUCCUCGGUUGGUAUGGUAACGGGAACCAAGUAACGUCUAUGAAACUUUUGUGUGUCUGUCAAAAAACACCCGAGUUGUCUUUGGGUCUCUUUAAGACGUACUUAUGUCAAAAAUCGGGACUGUGAAAUUAAUGAAAGCCCUUUGACUCGCUCAGCUCGGGACUGACAUUAAUAUCAUGACAAGCGUGCAGUGAAACGUUAUUGGAUUGGUGGAGGUCAAUAACUACUUUACUGCUUUUUACUACAAGUCCCAAUUUAUUUCUAUACUGUUUGUUCUUUAUUGUUUAGUUCUGUAAACAUUCAGUACACUUAGUAAAGACCGUUUGUGUUUUUGCCAGCCACAGCUUACCGGUCAUAUUAUAGGCACAACUAUACUCAUGAAGUAGUGAUUAUAAUUAGUAAUGAGAGUCAUCCAUGACCAGCAGGGACGACUCAUGAAGAAAGUGGUCGAUAUGUUGAUUUACAGAUAUUCAUGUUGUUACAUAAUUAGAUAUUAAACCAGGAUCUUCCAGUUCUUUACCUCUCACACGCUUCUCAGAGCCUGACAUGCCCCUCACACCUGCAGGCUGCAAUUUCAUUGCUCCUCCGACCGUUAGUGGAGCUGGAUCUCCUCGUCAAACACGCAGGCGCACUGUUGUAUUUUACUGGUUACAUAAAUAACCCCAGCUCCGAGCUCUUCACUGCUGCGGUCUUUGAUAACACUGCCGCUUUAAUUCAAAACUGCAAACAAACACGAACAUCACAGUUUGCACGGCGUGGUUGUGAGAAAUGGAUGGUAGCUCAUCAGCCAAUCAGAAUGGAGAGUCUGAAUGUGUAGAAAACCUGCUGAAACACAGGAGCUGUUAAAGUCCAGGAGUUUGUAACUUAACAUGAAUGAAUUUAUCAUUGAUGUAAAUUGGAGCCACAUGCUCACAAGGUUCCUUUCAUUUCAACAUCGCUGGGGGACGCAUGUCAAUGGUGGGGAGGGUCAUUACCCUAGAAGAUUUUGAGCCUUAAACACUUUAAUUCCUGCAUCCUGCACCAACUUCUAAAAACUUCUAAACUUAUGCCUUUUGGUUUGUGUUUUCUCUCAUUAAUUUGCAGCUCACUGUUAACUGUGUGAGCAAAUUCAAUGUUCAUAUUUUAAUUACUGCUGGGGAAAGCAGUUUGUGUUUUUAGCGAUCUGUUAAAUCCUGAAUACAUUGUGAGUUUUUGACUUGAUGUUUUACAUGAAUGAACCAAAUAAGUCUUUGUUGUUGCUUGUUUCCUAUAAAGUCAACACUGUCAGUUUCUUCUCAACAAGUUUUAUUGGUUAAUUCAAAAAAACUGGUUAAACCAGAACUUAAGUGUUCCAUCGUGCUCUGAUAACCAAAACCUUUGCUUCUUAGAAAAAGUGUUCAGUUUUUGGAAAUAAUGAUGUUCAAUCGAUUUUGUCUUUUAUGUUGACAUGUUUACUCUCCUUUCACCAUCUUACCUUUUAGUGCAUUACUGUGUUGGGGAUUUACAAGUAAAUUAUUAACAUCAUUUAUUACAAAAUAAGUGUUUCAGUUACAGGGGAAAAAAUGUGAUUAAAUUACAGUUACUUAUAAAAAUGUUUAUCAAAUCAUUCUUUGAUAAUUGAAAUAGACUAUUACAUUUUAAACGGGGUAACUUGUGAUCGUUACUCUGUUACAGUGACUACUAAUGAAAUGUUUUUUGUUUUUUUUAUUGUCUUAAGUAUCAGUAACUCUAAAUAAAACCCAUAUCUGCUGAGUGCA
Long non-coding RNA from Micropterus dolomieu (smallmouth bass), 6645 nucleotides. RefSeq lists it as uncharacterized. The transcript has 2 exons. The record is from RefSeq and is a predicted model, not a curated record. Lineage: Eukaryota; Metazoa; Chordata; Actinopteri; Centrarchiformes; Centrarchidae.